CUUUACCGAUUGUUAAACAUUUUCUACAUUGUGCUGGUUAGUUUUGGGACCAAUAACUUAAGUAUCUAUAUAGAAAAUGUUUAACAAUCGGUAAAGAAAUUUAAAUUACAAUUAGAAUUUUUCUUUAAUUCAUAGGCUCAGCUCAAGAUAACAAUAUGUGAGAGUUGCAGUAUAUGGUAUUUUUCCGUUUGUUGCCCAAAAUUUAAUCCUCUGUGGAUCCAGAAGAGUGAUGAGGGAAAUUCGACCAUACAUCAUCCCAUGUGCUCUGCCCAUCGGUAGCUGACUUCACAACCGAGGCUGCUUCUUCCACGUUAACACGGAUUUGAUCCUUGCUAUCCCUCUCUCUGAUUGUCACAGAUGAUGAUGAAUCAACAGUUAUUGCAAAUGGUACACCUAGUUCAUCUGUCCUUGCAUAUCGUUUGCC
RNAcentral lists this unclassified non-coding RNA (424 nucleotides) under Hevea brasiliensis (rubber tree). The record is from RNAcentral. Lineage: Eukaryota; Viridiplantae; Streptophyta; Magnoliopsida; Malpighiales; Euphorbiaceae.